UGCCGGCGAACGGCAAGCCCAACGUCUGCAGCGAGGAUUGCUGCACGAGCCUGAGUUUCGAGCAUGGGAGCAACAUUCUUGCGACCAGAAAAUGCUGCCUUGCUAUAAUCAUUCCGUCUGCCACCUCUUUUCUCUUCUCUUCUCUUCUCUUCUCUUCUCUGCUCUUACUCGUUGUGUAUACUUGUAGGUAUGCGCGCAUAUCUCCACGUGCACACACACACACACACUCGCACACACAGGCGCGCGCAAUUCUCACACGAACGUGACCAUUUAUUAGAUACACGGAAGUUGAACGUCGUGUUGAGUGCCGGUCUGACCCACAGGCGCUGUAACAAUUCCGCUCCUGCUAUCGCCGCUGUUACUGCUAGCCGCUGCUGAUGCCACUUCCUUCCGAUUGUACAUUCCGGAAAAUUAUACGAGAUGCCAGACUAUUCUGUGGCGGUUUUCGAAUCUUGUUGGCAAUACUCGGUAUAUCCUGCCCGGAAAAGCGGUUAGCCACAGAUUUCGGGGCAAAUUCAAUCGAUAUUGCAGAAGAGAGGGACAAGGGCGGUACAGAAUAAAUUCUACGCCAAUGUACCAACAACUACAAUCAACAUCGGUGGACACCAUGCUUUCCGUACAUGUAGAGCCUUUCACCAUAAUUAUCCGGUAUCAACGAACCCAAAGCUGAAAGCUGAAUUGGCUUACGGAGACUGAUGCAACUCGGGCAAACCUUGCGCGUCCUGAGACAAAUGUGGUAGGAUCUGGGAUAUGGAACGACGCUGUGCGAUAUAAGAACGAAGAGUGGACGAACGAUGGCCACGUCCGAGUCAACCUUGGAAAUCGCCCGAGGGUCGGAGGCUGCAAUGCGGUAUCGUCAAACCGAUUGUUCUCUGCGAUUCCCAUCGUCUGAUGUUACAUUGACUACUAUACGAAGAUGUCAGCGAGUUUGUCGGUAAUUUCGUCAGCCUUUUCUGAACCAGACGAACACUUCGAAGCUGGCUGGUCAAUUGUCUGAAAACCAAUUGUGGGCAAUUGAUGCUCGAUGCGGUUGGGUACCGCGUAUGUGAAGCGGCGGAUCAUUCUUCGUACGUCAAAUGACCUCGCCGACCCGCCUCCUGUGGAUAAUCGCCCUACCAGUGAAUGAGAUCGACGAUUUUAACGGAUGAUUUUAAUGAAGAAGAGAAAAAAAGAAUCGGCGACAUCGGUAACAGAUAUCACACGUGGACUCGGUGUUAUUAAACCAGCAAAAACGCCCCGGUAUCAACGUGUG
Molecule: long non-coding RNA, 1252 nt
Organism: Athalia rosae (coleseed sawfly)
Lineage: Eukaryota; Metazoa; Arthropoda; Insecta; Hymenoptera; Athaliidae
Exons: 4
Source: RefSeq, a predicted model, not a curated record